GAUGAACGCUGGCGGCGUGCUUAACACAUGCAAGUCGAACGAUGAAGCCCAGCUUGCUGGGUGGAUUAGUGGCGAACGGGUGAGUAACACGUGAGUAACCUGCCCUUAACUCUGGGAUAAGCCUGGGAAACUGGGUCUAAUACCGGAUAGGAGCGUCCACCGCAUGGUGGGUGUUGGAAAGAUUUAUCGGUUUUGGAUGGACUCGCGGCCUAUCAGCUUGUUGGUGAGGUAAUGGCUCACCAAGGCGACGACGGGUAGCCGGCCUGAGAGGGUGACCGGCCACACUGGGCCUGAGACACGGCCCAGACUCCUACGGGAGGCAGCAGUGGGGAAUAUUGCACAAUGGGCGCAAGCCUGAUGCAGCGACGCCGCGUGAGGGAUGACGGCCUUCGGGUUGUAAACCUCUUUCAGUAGGGAAGAAGCGAAAGUGACGGUACCUGCAGAAGAAGCACCGGCUAACUACGUG
RNAcentral lists this ribosomal RNA (466 nucleotides) under uncultured bacterium. RNAcentral's name for it is "partial 16S ribosomal RNA". It matches the Rfam family "Bacterial small subunit ribosomal RNA", at positions 28 to 507 of the family's 1533-position model. The record is from RNAcentral.